GCCGGGCGUGGUGGCGCAUGCCUGUAAUCCCAGCUACUUGGGAGGCUGAGGCAGGAGAAUCGCUCGAACCCGGGAGGUGAAGGUUGCAGUGAGCCGAGAUCGUGCCACUUCACUACAGCUUGGGUGACAGAGCAAGACCCUGUCUCAA
This 148-nucleotide non-coding RNA is filed under the name Nomascus leucogenys (northern white-cheeked gibbon). Lineage: Eukaryota; Metazoa; Chordata; Mammalia; Primates; Hylobatidae. The record is from Rfam by way of RNAcentral.